AGGAAUAUUGGUCAAUGGGCGCAAGCCUGAACCAGCCAAGUAGCGUGAGGGAAGACUGCCCUAUGGGUUGUAAACCUCUUUUGUGCGGGGAUAAAGUGUGGGACGUGUCCCAUAUUGCAGGUACCGCACGAAUAAGGACCGGCUAAUUCCGUGCCAGCAGCCGCGAUAAUACGGAAGGUCCGGGCGUUAUCCGGAUUUAUUGGGUUUAAAGGGAGCGCAGGCCGUCCUUUAAGCGUGCUGUGAAAUGCCGCGGCUCAACCGUGGCACUGCAGCGCGAACUGGAGGACUUGAGUACGCACGAGGUAGGCGGAAUUCGUGGUGUAGCGGUGAAAUGCUUAGAUAUCACGAAGAACUCCGAUUGCGAAGGCAGCUUACCGGAGCGCAACUGACGCUGAGGCUCGAAAGCGCGGGUAUCGAACAGGAUUAGAUACCCUGGUAGUCCGCGCGGUAAACGAUGGAUGCCCGCCGUUGGGUUUUAGAAUUCAGCGGCCAAGCGAAAGCGUUAAGCAUCCCACCUGGGGAGUACGCCGGCAACGGUGAAACUCAAAGGAAUUGACGGGGGCCCGCACAAGCGGAGGAACAUGUGGUUUAAUUCGAUGAUACGCGAGGAACCUUACCCGGGCUUGAAUUGCAGGAGAACGAUCCAGAGAUGGUGAGGCCCUUCGGGGCUCCUGUGAAGGUGCUGCAUGGUUGUCGUCAGCUCGUGCCGUGAGGUGUCGGCUCAAGUGCCAUAACGAGCGCAACCCCUGUCCAUAGUUGCCAUCAGGUCGUGCUGGGCACUCUGUGGAGACUGCCGCCGUAAGGUGUGAGGAAGGUGGGGAUGACGUCAAAUCAGCACGGCCCUUACGUCCGGGGCUACACACGUGUUACAAUGGGGCAUACAGCGAGUUGGAUGUGCGCAAGUACGUCCGGAUCAAUAAAGUGCCUCUCAGUUCGGACUGGGGUCUGCAACCCGACCCCACGAAGCUGGAUUCGCUAGUAAUCGCGCAUCAGCCAUGGCGCGGUGAAUACGUUCCCG
Molecule: ribosomal RNA, 1018 nt
Filed under: uncultured bacterium
Lineage: Bacteria
Description: bacterial SSU rRNA
Rfam family: Bacterial small subunit ribosomal RNA
Source: RNAcentral